Molecule: ribosomal RNA, 418 nt
Filed under: uncultured bacterium
Lineage: Bacteria
Description: bacterial SSU rRNA
Rfam family: Bacterial small subunit ribosomal RNA
Source: RNAcentral
UGAGGAAUAUUGGACAAUGGAGGCAACUCUGAUCCAGCCAUGCCGCGUGAAGGACUAAGGCCCUAUGGGUCGUAAACUUCUUUUGACGCAGAGCAAUAAGGAUUACGUGUAGUCUGAUGAGAGUAUGCGUCGAAUAAGCAUCGGCUAACUCCGUGCCAGCAGCCGCGGUAAUACGGAGGAUGCAAGCGUUAUCCGGAUUUAUUGGGUUUAAAAGGGUGCGUAGGCGGAUGGGUAAGUCAGCGGUGAAAUUCCAGUGCUCAACAUUGGCCGUGCCGUUGAUACUGCUGGGCUUGAAUGCGGAUGCCGUGGGAGGAAUGUGUGGUGUAGCGGUGAAAUGCAUAGAUAUCACACAGAACACCGAUUGCGAAGGCAUCUCACGAAUCCGCAAUUGACGCUGAGGCACGAAAGUGUGGGGAUC